This 497-nucleotide ribosomal RNA is filed under the name uncultured bacterium. RNAcentral describes it as "partial 16S ribosomal RNA". It matches the Rfam family "Bacterial small subunit ribosomal RNA", at positions 28 to 507 of the family's 1533-position model. The record is from RNAcentral.
GAUGAACGCUGGCGGCGUGCCUAAUACAUGCAAGUCGAGCGAACAGACGAGGAGCUUGCUCCUCUGACGUUAGCGGCGGACGGGUGAGUAACACGUGGAUAACCUACCUAUAAGACUGGGAUAACUUCGGGAAACCGGAGCUAAUACCGGAGAAUAUAUUGAACCGCAUGGUUCAAUAGUGAAAGACGGUUUUGCUGUCACUUAUAGAUGGAUCCGCGCCGCAUUAGCUAGUUGGGAAGGUAACGGCUUACCAAGGCAACGAGGCGUAGCCGACCGGAGAGGGGGGUCGGCCACAUGAGAACGUGAACGCGGACCAGGGUCCUGAGGGACGCACCAGUAGGGAACGUGACGCAGUGGUGGGAAGUCUUACGGAGCAACGGCGCGUGUGUUGCGGAGGCCUUGCGAUCGGGAAACUCUGUUACUAGGGAAGAACAAAUGUGUAAGUAACUAUGCACGUCUUGACGGUACCUAAUCAGAAAGCCCCGGCUAACUACGUG